ACACAUAUGCAUACGUAUUCACACUCUCUCUGUCUGCAUACACAGACAAAAGACAGCACACACACAUGCUCUCACAAACACACACAUUGCACACGCUAAAACAUUUUAAACAUCCAACCUGUAACAAACACUGAAAUACACACACUCUGACACAAAUGCUUAUAUACACACACUUACACAUAUUAUCAUACAUAUAUGCUCAAACCACAAACACAACCAGACAUACACACACACACACACACACAUACAAACACACAUUCACACACACUCAUGCAUAAUCGAACCCCAGCUAUUCAUUUACUCUCAUACAGACAAACACAGUUACAUACAUGCUACAAUUCCUACAACAGACUCAUAGAAAUACCCCUAAAAACAAGCACACACUCUCAUAUUCAGCCACUCUCAUUUGGUGUUGCAUUAAAUAAAUUCACAUACUCUCCAUUUGAAUUCAUGAGGGUGACUUACCACAGCAGGUGCUAAGAACACUGUCACAUUCUGGUAUUUAGACAGGUCAGUCUAAGGAAAAUAGCAAUGAACAGUUGAUAUGGUAAUUAUGAUUGGUACUAAUUUUGAUGACACAUUGGCAUUAUGAUACUGUAUAGCAUAAUAUACAUCUUAAUCUCAAAUACUUAAGUAAUCAUACUUGUAUAAUGAUAAUUGAUUAUAUAAAAUAACAAAUAUAACUUUAUUAUAGUAGAAAGAAGAACACUGUUCUUGGCAAACUACCUGUACAAAUCACUGUAAAGUAGCACAGAAAAAUAACCAAGUGAUCAUACAGUUGUAUACAGGGCAUCUCUGAGCACAUGUAUCAGUAUAUUUUAGUUCAUGAAAUAAAAUGUAGCUUUGCAUUAAUAUUUAAAGAAUGGCUCAUUUCUAAGGGGUUGUAUUUAGUCCUUUUCACGUCAACAAAACAGCAAAAUGUCAUGAUCCAAUUUGUCCAGAGGUGCCCACACUUUUGCACUUAUGUCCAAAGCGACGUACAAGGGAGAGAACAGUCAAGCUACGAGCAAUAGAGACCUAGUGUAACAAUAUAUACUGCUUUACAUAAGAAAUUAAAAAAAGAAAUAGAAAAAAGAAGUGCAGGAAUGUAACUGCUGUAAGUGCAAGUUAAGUACUAGUCGAAGUGCCAGUUAGGAAGGGAGGUGCUCUCUGAAGAGUUGGGUCUUCAAAAGCUUCUUAAAAGGUAGAGAGGGACGCCCCUGCUCUGGUAGUGCUAGGCAGUUCGUUCCACCACCGUGGAACUACAAAUGAGAAUAGUCUGGAUUGCCGUACUUGCACAGACGGCAGUGCCAAACGACGCUCACUAGACGAGAGCAGCAUCCUAGGUGUAACAUUUGCCCUUACAAGAGCAUUUAGGUAGGUGGGAGCAGAACCAGCAAUCACUCUGUAGGCAAGCAUAAGUGACUUGAACUUAAGGCGAGCAGCUACAGGCUGCCAGUGGAUACUGUGAUGAGAACAAAUUCAAUGACAAAACCGAUUGGAAUUAUAAGUCAGUUAUACCAACUUAAAGGAGCAAUAUGUAGUUGGAACACCAAGCGUUAAAAAUCGAUAUCGCAUUCUAAAUUCAAAAUAUUUGAGAGCUAUGUCUCCACCCUUCCCCUCCUCCCCAGAUGCGAUGCUCACACGGGUUGCCAGGUUAAGGACGCGGAACCUGCACGAACAAGCGCAAGACGAGCUCAGCAUUGUGUGCAGUGUGUCUAUUGUUUAUGAACCAGCUCAUAUGGAGUUUGUAUACUCUGUCAGUGUUGGAUAAUGGUAACACAUUGCUCAAUUUACAGAUAACGUAUAAAUCAUUUCACAUCUAUUAUGGAGUAGUAGCCUACUGUUCUUCCUUGUUGCAGCCUGACUCAGAUUUCAGUUAUGAAGUACCCUCACCAAGUCAAGUGAGACCAGUGAGGGCUCGUCAGGUGCCGCUGAAACAAGAGGCAGAGAGCGGAGAGGAUGAGCUAGAGAGAGGAGGAGGAUGAGAAGACAGAGUGCAGGUCCUAGUGGCACAAGAGGCAGAGGAUCUAAAGUAAAAGCAACAGAGAGAAGGAAGAGAGUGCAGGUCCUGCAUACCUGUCAAGUUAACACGACUGAAAUCCGUGAGAUCAGUGAUUGAAAUCCAUGAAAAUCCAUGAACCAUCCUCACUGCCCACACACAAAAGACAACAGCAUAUUGUCACAUUUGCGAGGCAUUUCGUAAACAGGUCUGGUUCACUUCUAGAUAACAAGUUGUUCAGUGAUGCUGAAUAAUGAAAUGUGUUGACUAGUAGCCUAAAACUGCUACAAAGACAUAGUGAGCCACACAGUACUCACUCGCACUGCACAGCAGUUUAAUUGACUUGUAAUUAUUAAUUUAUGCAAUUGGGAUUGAGUCUCACACAUAAAAUGAGACUUGACAGGUAUGGUCCUGGUCAAAGACACAGAGUCCAGAAAGGAAGAGCCAGAGGAAGAAUGGCAGAGAGGAGAGAGUGUCUACCACUAGCGAAAUUUUACCACAUCUUUUGAUUAUCACAAAAUUUUAUAAACUCUUCUAAAAUAGGUAAAUGGUUUCUAUUCGAUUAGAUAGAUUAAAAAGGUAGUAGCUAAGGAUGGGCAUGAGCAAUGUUACUCUAUGUGUACAUCAGAAUUUGUUCAACGUAUAGAGUAAUCACUAAUCACGAUUGUAAAUGUAGUCAAUUUAGAGUCAAACUUGCAGUUUCUGUCACGCAGUUUUUUGCCAAGUAGUGGGGCGGCUUAGCUUGAUAGUUCACAAGAAUUGUGCACUUUGUGAAAGUGUGAAAUUUGGUACACAUAUAGCCAAAGACAGUCCAAAAAAAUUUGAAUGUGUCCGGCAGGGAUUCCAAAAUCGGCCGAGGGUUUUGCCUUGACGGACAUUUGUGUUCCUCUGUGUUUUUAAAAAAUGAGUUAUUACGUCCCUGCAUGUGAAAAAGAUGGCAAAACUUUGUCGCGGGGGAGGGGGCGGGGUCAUCCGCAUGUGAAAAAGAUGGACAAACUCUGUUGCGGGGGGAGGGGCGGGGUCAUCCACAUAUGAAAAAGAUGGCAAAACUCUGUUGCGGGGGUUUGUUGCAAGUCAUAUCUCUCCAAUGAAUUCAAACUUGGAGGUGACACAAACAUGUCACUUGAUAGCUCUUGAUUUGUGAGAACAAAAAAGAUUCUGGGCUAAUGUUACAAUACUGAUUUUAAUUCUGCAUCACAAAAUGUAUGAUUAAAUAUGGAAAUCAUCCAAAUCAUAUGCAAUAUAAGUAACUUUAUUUCUAUUACAAAUGUCAUGCUAAUCAUGGCUACCAUCUUGAAUUUUUAUUGAUUUUAAAUAUUUUUUAUGUAUUAACUUCCAAAAACUAUGUAUGAUGAUUAUAUUUAACUAACAAGAUCAUCAACAUCAUAUUAUAUCCCAUAAAAAUAAGAGAAUUGAUCUGAAAACUCUUGCACCGGCAGCCAUCUUGAAAAAUGCCUGCUACGGCCGCCAUGUUGAAAAUUCAUGAUGGCCCGAUAUCUACAUUUUUUCAGACUGUCUUUGGCAAUAUGUGUACCAAAUUUCACGCUUUUAUCACAAAAUGCACAAUUGUUCAGGUUAUCUGCCCCUGGAGUGUUGAAAUGACUGAAAAUGCCCAUCCCUGCUAGUACACGUCAUAAAUGAGUUAAGGUAAGCUAACCUUAGCUGAAGCUCAAUGCUUACCUGUUCGGGGGAAAAUUAGCUAACUUUGCAUCUGUCUUAAAAUCGUUCUGAGCUCUUAACUGUCUCCAUCUUUCAACUGCAUGUUGAAUAUUUACCUGCAUUUUACUACAUCUAUGGUCAUGCAGCAUUUAAGAAGGAUGCCAAAGAUUUGUCGAGUACUAUCAAACAUUGGUCCAGUUAGUUUGCUUACUUCCAUGGCGGUUGCACCCUGUGUUUGUAUUCUUAUCUGGCAAACCAGGGUUGAAAUGGUACUGGAGAAAUGGGAAGUGGGCAGAAUAAACAGGCUAAAACACAAACAGACAUUCCACUCCGGAACAGAAUUUUUAAAAGGAGAAUAAUACUAGCUGUAGCAUUGUUGUCAGAGAAGCCAGAAUUUUUGUUUAGCAUGUUUCCUUAAUCUCUCUCUCUACGUUCAUUUUAUGAUUUAGUACAUGACAUUUAUUACAUAUUGGUCCUUUACACAGUGGGAAGAGACAUAAACCAGAGAAUAAAUUAUCAUUGGGGGGCGAUAGUGGUUCAAGAGGUAGAGGAGUCGUUCAGCAAUCAGAAGGUUGCUAGUUUGAUCCCGACUCCUCCUCACCAAGUGUUGAAGUGUCUUUGGGCAAGACACUGAACACCCAAACUCAUACUCUAGCACUGGCUCUCACUCUCAAACACAUGUACAGCCCGUCACUAAAACAUACCAUUACCUUCCAAAAGUCCUGAUUGAGAAAACGGAUGUGUGUGGGGGGGAUGGCUCUCCUCCUGACGCGUGCUCUAGAGUAGGCCAACAGCACAGGGUUCACCUCAAAACCUGUACAUUGGAAGCCCAUGGAGUGGGCACCUAAUAUCUGAGGGGUCAGUGAGACAUCACACACUCAUCACUCUCAGUGUAUUAUAGCCUACAGUGCCCCACACACUUAAAGAGCUUUUACAAUCAUUUUCACAAUUGUUUCAAUAUCAUCAUAGUGUGCCUCCUUUUCCAGUACAUUAAGUGAAACAACAACACAUAAGACUUUUGAUCUGUUGGUUUGCCUGUCACAGUACACUUUCGAGUGUGGUACAUUUACUUUAGUUGCAUCCAAGUCACUUUCUCUCAUUGAUAGCCCAUGACUUCCAUACAGCAGUAAUAGUGGAAAAAUCUCUUCAGCGACAACUACAUACAUGCACAUUUCAAGGCAAAUAUGGUCACUUUUCUAUAGGUGAUAACAAGGCUGCAAACCAAAAACAGAAUAAAAUUUCAGGUAAAAUCUGAUUUUAUUCUUAUAUCAAGUGAAUAGUUUAAUAUAUCUGUAAAAAUACAGCAUAUUUGCAUCUACAUUUUGUUGGGUUUUGAACUGAAAGUGAACUAUUUUGAUCAGAGUAUUGAAAUCUCUUUGACUGAGAAAGGUAUUCAUGAAUUUAGGAGGAAGUGGUGACUGAAAGCAUUUUGUAUCAAGGCAAUGCAAAAAUACCCAGUUUAGUUCACAUAGUCCUGAUAUGUGUGUGAAGUGUUUUGAAAAAGACACUUAUCUGUCACUCAAGUGUCAAACCACUAGUCGCAAACUGUAAACCAACUGUGCUACAUUCACACAUUAUAUAACAUUAUGUUAUGUGAGUCUCUACACUUGCAGAGCUCUUAUGAGGCUUCUCAUGCAUUUUGUUCAGUCUCCGACCAAUCAGCAACCAGAGGGGAGUGGGUCUAAAUUUCUAAAUCGGUCACGUCAUCACUGAGACAGUUUCAUUUCCAGUGGUAAACAGUAUUGAUCAGGUCAGUGGUAGAGUAAAGGGUAAUGAUCAAGUCACUGUUGGACUAAAUGUAUUGAUUGGGUCAGUGGAACAGUAAAGGGUCUAGAUCAGGUCAGUGGAACAGUAAAAAGUAGAGUGUAGAGUGUGGGGUAUUGAUCAUAGGGUAUUGAUCAGGUCAGUGUUAGGGUAAAGGGUAUUGAUCGGGUAAGUGGUAGACUAAAGGGUCUAGAUCAGGUCAGUGGAACAGUAAAGAGUAGAGUGUAGAGUGUGGGGUAUUGAUCAUAGGGUAUUGAUCAGGUCAGUGUUAGGGUAAAGGGUAUUGAUCGGGUAAGUGGUAGACUAAAGGGUCUAGAUCAGGUCAGUGGAACAGUAAAGAGUAUUGAUCAUAAGGUAUUGAUCAGGUGAGUGGUAGAGUGUAGGGUAUUGAUUAGGUGAGAGUAAAGGGUAUUGAUCAUAGGUUAUUGAUCAGGUCAGUGGUAGAGUAAAGGGUAUUGAUCGGGUCAGUGGUAGACUAAACGGUACUGAUCAGACUCACCAGGCGGCCGUCUCCUGACCCCAGGUCCGCCAGCAGGCCGGCACGUCCCUCCAAAAGCUUUAGAACAUUUUGAGUCUGCUGCUCAGAAGAUGGCAGGAAAGGCACCUAGAUGUAUGACAGUAACAUUGGGCCUCAUUCUCGAACGCAGUUAAGAAGAAUUUAAGAGGAAUUUAAGAGGAAUUUCUUCUGAAUUGGAUUUAGGACAACAUUUGGCAUUCAUGAAUGUUUUCUCAUCUGGGAUUUGCUCUGAACUUCAGAAGACUUUCCGAACUCGAAUUAGCAGUCGUAACUCGGCCAGAGUUUUCUCAAAUGCGAUUCCUUAAAAAACCACAAGAUGGCCCCGUGCGCCCUCUUGUGGUUUUUUGAGGAAUCGCA
Molecule: long non-coding RNA, 6278 nt
Organism: Clupea harengus (Atlantic herring)
Lineage: Eukaryota; Metazoa; Chordata; Actinopteri; Clupeiformes; Clupeidae
Source: Ensembl